RNAcentral lists this long non-coding RNA (304 nucleotides) under Brassica napus (rape). RNAcentral describes it as "long non-coding RNA (BNAP_LNC008102)". Lineage: Eukaryota; Viridiplantae; Streptophyta; Magnoliopsida; Brassicales; Brassicaceae. The record is from RNAcentral.
GAGUCCCACCUACAGAACUUCUGGUUUAACUGUUAAUCCUCAUUUGAGAAGAUCUGAUGAUAUACGGUAAUUCAUUCUUAGAUGUAGCUGACGUAAGUAAGGAGAUAAAUUGUUGAUUUAACAUAUAGUUGGGGAAUCAUGUUUCAUGCUCUUUUAGUAAGCCCUAAUCAUGGUUCAUGCUAUUUGUGUUCAUCAGCAAUUUAAUUCAUGAUUAUAUUAAGAAUAUUUUUUACUAAUACGUAUAUCCUUAUUGUUUUCAAUGAUGAAUUAAUCCUUCGUUAUAAAGGAAAAUCAUGUUGCUUUU